AGAUGACAAGAGCAAAAGAAUAAUUUUUUAUUCAUGUGAGCGCUAUGGUUUUUGGCUAACAGUAAAUUGAAAGCAAAAUUUGUUUUAAAAAUAAGCGGGAAUAUCGAAGACCAUCCUAUAAGAACAUAAUCAGCAUGGACCGUAAAAAUAUACUGAAACUACUAGCUGGAACGAUUCUAACACUCCACGUUGGAUUUUACUUCAUCAAACCGUUACUUCUCCCGGAAUCAUCACAAGAUAAGGCUGGAAUGUCGAAAUCGCGACCAACCUAUUGAAAGGAUUUUUUCUUCAUGCUGUGAUAUCUUUUAUAAAUAAUUUUUUUAUGAACUUAGAAGAGCAUGUUUUAGUUUAAUAGAGCAUGGAAAUAA
Long non-coding RNA from Uranotaenia lowii, 368 nucleotides. RefSeq lists it as uncharacterized. Lineage: Eukaryota; Metazoa; Arthropoda; Insecta; Diptera; Culicidae. The transcript has 2 exons. The record is from RefSeq and is a predicted model, not a curated record.